RNAcentral lists this unclassified non-coding RNA (219 nucleotides) under Glomus sp. Its description in RNAcentral is "partial contains 5.8S ribosomal RNA and internal transcribed spacer 2". The stretch from base 1 to 65 matches the Rfam family "5.8S ribosomal RNA", at positions 84 to 154 of the family's 154-position model. Lineage: Eukaryota; Fungi; Glomeromycota; Glomeromycetes; Glomerales; Glomeraceae. The record is from RNAcentral.
GUGAAUCAUCAAAUUUUUGAACGCAAAUUGCACUCUCUUCGGUGAGUAUGCGUGUUUGAGGGUCAGCCUAAAAAAAAAUCGACUUAGUGGUUGUUCUGCGGUGACUUUUGACGGAAAUUGGGUCAUUUUACUUAUUUGGGUUUUAAGCGGUUAAAAAUUUUCUUUGUGAUCGCACGUAUGUAUAUAGGUUUUAUUUGUUAUAGGUUUAGGGUACUGAUU